Long non-coding RNA from Oncorhynchus tshawytscha (Chinook salmon), 582 nucleotides. The record is from Ensembl. Lineage: Eukaryota; Metazoa; Chordata; Actinopteri; Salmoniformes; Salmonidae.
UAGCAGUGUGUGCUGUUGGAAUCCAUGCAGCGGCUAACUGUACUGCCUCUUAAAUAGGAGCAAACAGACUCAUCGCUCGUGACUCUGACACCACUGAGACCAACGCUCCCUCUCCCGGACUGACAGGCCAAUCGCAGGACACCCCUCACUCUCUCAGUCGCUCUCUCUCUCUCACUGAUUCUCUCUCUCGCAUUCAUUCCUUUGCUCUCCAUCUCUCUCUCUGUCUGUAGCUAAGUCUCUCUACCACACCUUGUCCAGUGCAGAGGAACAGAAAGCCCCCUGCCCAGCCCAGGGAUAGCCAGACCGCUGAGAGGAUGAAACUCUGACAAGCCGACAGACCGCAGGGAAACGAGCACAACUGCCCACAGAUAAUUGGUUGAAGGGAGAGUCCAGGAAGGUCAGCCAAGAAAGCAGCCAUAGGUGCCAGUGUGAAAUCUACAGCAACUACAAUUACUUCAACAGUGAGCGGCUGGAACAAGGUGAAUGACAGACGCUGUUUCACACAGAGUGAUGCUGAGACUGGCUUAGGCUUGCAGCACCACUGAAGACUUACACGGCACUAGACAAUGACCAUUACCCCCA